GACAGAGGGUGCAAACGUUGUUCGGAAUUACUGGGCGUAAAGCGCGUGUAGGCGGCAGCGUGUGUCGGGCGUGAAAUCCCAUGGCUCAACCAUGGAAGUGCACCCGAAACUGCGCAGCUAGAGUCCUGGAGAGGAAGGCGGAAUACUUGGUGUAGAGGUGAAAUUCGUAGAUAUCAAGUGGAACACCGGUGGCGAAGGCGGCCUUCUGGACAGUGACUGACGCUGAGACGCGAAAGCGUGGGUAGCAAACAGG
This 253-nucleotide ribosomal RNA is filed under the name uncultured bacterium. RNAcentral describes it as "partial 16S ribosomal RNA". It matches the Rfam family "Bacterial small subunit ribosomal RNA", at positions 524 to 776 of the family's 1533-position model. The record is from RNAcentral.